GGCUCCAUAGCUCAGUGGUUAGAGCAAUGGUCUCGUAAACCAAAGGUCGCAAGUUCGAUACUUGCUAAAGACU
Molecule: transfer RNA, 73 nt
Filed under: Astyanax mexicanus (Mexican tetra)
Lineage: Eukaryota; Metazoa; Chordata; Actinopteri; Characiformes; Acestrorhamphidae
Rfam family: tRNA
About the family: Transfer RNA (tRNA) molecules are approximately 80 nucleotides in length.
Source: Rfam by way of RNAcentral